AGUAGAUAAAUAAUUCAACAUCGAGGUCACAAUCUUUUUCUUCUAUGAGAACUUAAAGAAAAAAUUGUGCUGUUAUCCCUACGGUAGCUUGUUAAAUUCCCAGUUUGGGGAUAGAGUGGAGGUGAGAAAAAAGAUAUAGUUUUUUACCGCCCCAGUUCAACAAAAGUGAAGUUCGAUAGGGUCUUGUCGUCCUUCUCUUUUAUACAAGUUUUUUUACUUGAGUGAAAAGUUAAAAUAAUUUAGGUGAUAAAGAAAUUUAUAUGUCAAACCUUUCAUUCUAGCCUUCAAUUAAAAGGCAAAUGAUUAUGCUACCUUAGCACAAAAAUAUUGCGGCUAUUUAAGAGAUCAUUGAGCAGGUUCUACUGAAUAUAAAAUCAUUCAGAAAUGUUUUUGAUAAACAGACAAUAAAAUAAGGGCCGAGUUCAUAAACCUAAAGUUAGUCUGUUCCUUUGGCGGUGGGUUAAGAUAUAGGGUGGUGGUUGGUAUUUUACUAAUAAAGUCAUUGUUGGGUGGGUUUAAAGGAGAAGGCUUCUUUUAAGAAAAUUUGUAGGAUAAAAAGAUAAAGUUUUUAAACUGAAAGACACUAUUAAUCCUUAACUUGAGAGAAUUUUAGAAGCGAAUAAUUAGAAAAAAAGAAUGUCCCUUUUAAAAUUUUAGUAUUAUUACUUUUAAAGAUAACCAGAUAUCAUAGAAUGCGAGUGGAAUUUCAUCUCUAUUUCCCCUUUGAAAAACUUUAUGAAACAAGGUUGGCAAGGGAAAAUAGAUCAUUUCAAUUUCGGGAACAUUUAUUAAAAAGUUAUAGUUGAAUUUCCCUGAUACAAAAGGUACAUCAAUUUUCUAUUGAACAAUUUUAGGGUCCCUUUCGGUUAAGAAAUAAAAAGAUAAAAAGAAACAGUAUGGAAUAUUAUUUUAGACAAAAUUUUAAGUAGGUGGGUCU
This 937-nucleotide ribosomal RNA is filed under the name Aptostichus atomarius. RNAcentral's name for it is "partial 16S ribosomal RNA". Lineage: Eukaryota; Metazoa; Arthropoda; Arachnida; Araneae; Euctenizidae. The record is from RNAcentral.